RNAcentral lists this ribosomal RNA (483 nucleotides) under uncultured bacterium. RNAcentral's name for it is "partial 16S ribosomal RNA". It matches the Rfam family "Bacterial small subunit ribosomal RNA", at positions 30 to 507 of the family's 1533-position model. The record is from RNAcentral.
UUGAACGCUGGCGGCAGGCCUCACACAUGCAAGUCGAGCGGAUGAAGGGAGCUUGCUCCUGGAUUCAGCGGCGGACGGGUGAGUAAUGCCUAGGAAUCUGCCUGGUAGUGGGGGAUAACGUCCGGAAACGGGCGCUAAUACCGCAUACGUCCUGAGGGAGAAAGUGGGGGAUCUUCGGACCUCACGCUAUCAGAUGAGCCUAGGUCGGAUUAGCUAGUUGGUGGGGUAAAGGCCUACCAAGGCGACGAUCCGUAACUGGUCUGAGAGGAUGAUCAGUCACACUGGAACUGAGACACGGUCCAGACUCCUACGGGAGGCAGCAGUGGGGAAUAUUGGACAAUGGGCGAAAGCCUGAUCCAGCCAUGCCGCGUGUGUGAGGAAGGUCUUCGGAUUGUAAAGCACUUUAAGUUGGGAGGAAGGGCAGUAAGUUAAUACCUUGCUGUUUUGACGUUACCGACAGAAUAAGCACCGGCUAACUUCGUG